This 83-nucleotide transfer RNA is filed under the name Cryptomonas curvata. RNAcentral's name for it is "tRNA-Leu". It matches the Rfam family "tRNA". Rfam says of the family: Transfer RNA (tRNA) molecules are approximately 80 nucleotides in length. Their secondary structure includes four short double-helical elements and three loops (D, anti-codon, and T loops). The record is from RNAcentral. Lineage: Eukaryota; Cryptophyceae; Cryptomonadales; Cryptomonadaceae.
GGGGGUGUGGUGGAAUGGUAGACACAACAGACUUAAAAUCUGUUGACUUUUCGGUCGUGAGGGUUCGAGUCCCUCCACCCCCA